CGUGAUUCUCGUGUGAAUUCUUCUUUUUAUUUUGUGGUGCUCUUUGGCUAGUAGCUUUUGCGAUUUUAGUGCUGACGAGUCACAAAGGGAUAUUUUUAUAAGUGAGAUUGGAGAUGCAUCAGGUUGAAAGGGCAAUCACCUCUUUAAUCCUUCGAAACUCUCAGCCGCAAUAAUAAUAUGUAUGAUACUCACUUAACGUAGAUUGAAUAAUGCAGCGAUUCGUCCGGUGACUCAAGUAUCGCCAUCAAAUCAUUAACAUGCAGGAUAAAAAAUUGGCCAGGGGAAUAUUCCAUGGUAAUAGUGACGAAAAGAAAUUGUUAAAACAAUGUCCCUGGAAUGGCGAUUAUCUGAAAUUGACGGAUGGCUUGUAAAAAGACUCUCACCAAAGUGUAUCGCAUCAUCUCAUCUACAAGAGCCAAUAAAAAAAAUGGAAAAAACCCCAUCGAGCGUAAUGACUCAUUACAAAGCUCUAUCACGCCUG
This is a long non-coding RNA of Fopius arisanus, 481 nucleotides long. RefSeq lists it as uncharacterized. NCBI's taxonomy places the organism in Eukaryota, Metazoa, Arthropoda, Insecta, Hymenoptera, Braconidae. The transcript is spliced from 3 exons. The record is from RefSeq and is a predicted model, not a curated record.